CGUUCCCGGGCCUUGUACACACCGCCCGUCACACCAUGGGAGUUGGUUCUACCCGAAGGCGUUUUGCUAACCGCAAGGGGCAGACGACCACGGUAGGGUCAGCGACUGGGGUG
RNAcentral lists this ribosomal RNA (113 nucleotides) under uncultured bacterium. RNAcentral describes it as "partial 16S ribosomal RNA". It matches the Rfam family "Bacterial small subunit ribosomal RNA", at positions 1369 to 1482 of the family's 1533-position model. The record is from RNAcentral.